GGAGAAAUGGCCGAGUGGUCGAAGGCGCACGCCUGGAAAGUGUGUGUACGCCAAAAGCGUACCAAGGGUUCGAAUCCCUUUUUCUCCG
RNAcentral lists this transfer RNA (88 nucleotides) under Bacteroidota bacterium. RNAcentral describes it as "Bacteroidetes bacterium (freshwater metagenome) tRNA-Ser". It matches the Rfam family "tRNA". From Rfam's summary of the family: Transfer RNA (tRNA) molecules are approximately 80 nucleotides in length. Their secondary structure includes four short double-helical elements and three loops (D, anti-codon, and T loops). The record is from RNAcentral. Lineage: Bacteria; Pseudomonadati; Bacteroidota.